GAGACACGGCCCAGACUCCUACGGGAGGCAGCAGUGGGGAAUAUUGGACAAUGGGCGGAAGCCUGAUCCAGCCAUGCCGCGUGUGUGAAGAAGGCCUUUUGGUUGUAAAGCACUUUAAGCGAGGAGGAGGCUCCUUUAGUUAAUACCUAAAGUGAGUGGACGUUACUCGCAGAAUAAGCACCGGCUAACUCUGUGCCAGCAGCCGCGGUAAUACAGAGGGUGCGAGCGUUAAUCGGAUUUACUGGGCGUAAAGCGUGCGUAGGCGGCUUUUUAAGUCGGAUGUGAAAUCCCUGAGCUUAACUUAGGAAUUGCAUUCGAUACUGGAAAGCUAGAGUAUGGGAGAGGAUGGUAGAAUUCCAGGUGUAGCGGUGAAAUGCGUAGAGAUCUGGAGGAAUACCGAUGGCGAAGGCAGCCAUCUGGCCUAAUACUGACGCUGAGGUACGAAAGCAUGGGGAGCAAACAGGAUUAGAUACCCUGGUAGUCCAUGCCGUAAACGAUGUCUACUAGCCGUUGGGGCCUUUGAGGCUUUAGUGGCGCAGCUAACGCGAUAAGUAGACCGCCUGGGGAGUACGGUCGCAAGACUAAAACUCAAAUGAAUUGACGGGGGCCCGCACAAGCGGUGGAGCAUGUGGUUUAAUUCGAUGCAACGCGAAGAACCUUACCUGGCCUUGACAUACUAAGAACUUUCCAGAGAUGGAUUGGUGCCUUCGGGAACUUAGAUACAGGUGCUGCAUGGCUGUCGUCAGCUCGUGUCGUGAGAUGUUGGGUUAAGUCCCGCAACGAGCGCAACCCUUUUCCUUAUUUGCCAGCGGGUCAUGCCGGGAACUUUAAGGAUACUGCCAGUGACAAACUGGAGGAAGGCGGGGACGACGUCAAGUCAUCAUGGCCCUUACGGCCAGGGCUACACACGUGCUACAAUGGUCGGUACAAAGGGUUGCUACCUCGCGAGAGGAUGCUAAUCUCAAAAAGCCGAUCGUAGUCCGGAUCGCAGUCUGCAACUCGACUGCGUGAAGUCGGAAUCGCUAGUAAUCGCGGAUCAGAAUGCCGCGGUGAAUACGUUCCCGGGCCUUGUACACACCGCCCGUCACACCAUGGGAGUUUGUUGCACCAGAAGUAGGUAGUCUAACCGCAAGGAGGACGCUUACCACGGUGUGGCAGAUGACUGGGGUGAAGUCGUAACAAGGUAGCCGUAGGGGAACCUGCGGCUGGAUCACCU
Molecule: ribosomal RNA, 1216 nt
Filed under: Acinetobacter sp. CIP 101934
Lineage: Bacteria; Pseudomonadati; Pseudomonadota; Gammaproteobacteria; Moraxellales; Moraxellaceae
Description: bacterial SSU rRNA
Rfam family: Bacterial small subunit ribosomal RNA
Source: RNAcentral